This 468-nucleotide ribosomal RNA is filed under the name uncultured bacterium. RNAcentral's name for it is "partial 16S ribosomal RNA". It matches the Rfam family "Bacterial small subunit ribosomal RNA", at positions 28 to 507 of the family's 1533-position model. The record is from RNAcentral.
GACGAACGCUGGCGGCGUGCUUAACACAUGCAAGUCGAACGGAAAGGCCCUGCUUUUGUGGGGUGCUCGAGUGGCGAACGGGUGAGUAACACGUGAGUAACCUGCCCUUGACUUUGGGAUAACUUCAGGAAACUGGGGCUAAUACCGGAUAGGAGCUCCUGCUGCCUGGUGGGGGUUGGAAAGUUUCGGCGGUUGGGGAUGGACUCGCGGCUUAUCAGCUUGUUGGUGGGGUAGUGGCUUACCAAGGCUUUGACGGGUAGCCGGCCUGAGGGGGUGACCGGCCACAUUGGGACUGAGAUACGGCCCAGACUCCUACGGGAGGCAGCAGUGGGGAAUAUUGCACAAUGGGCGGAAGCCUGAUGCAGCAACGCCGCGUGCGGGAUGACGGCCUUCGGGUUGUAAACCGCUUUCGCCUGUGACGAAGCGUGAGUGACGGUAAUGGGUAAAGAAGCACCGGCUAACUACGUG